UGAAGGGGUCUGUGUCCCGUGCCCUGAUCCGACUAGCAGCGGCUCCUCGGUGGUUCACUCCAGACCGUGUCCUUGUUGAGUUGUCAGUACUCAGUAGCGUGUCGUCGUUUCGCCCAUCCGUCUUUUUUAUCUGUCGCCGUGUCUUCGUCGUCGCCGUCUGUGUAUCCCGUGUACACCGGAGGUGCACCCGCCCAUUGCCGCCCACCCGUGUCGUGUCUUGUUUUAGCGGCAGCUUAUUCCGUUCAUUUCAAUAGGACAAUGCCAUGUAUGAGAUGUUUUCCUGGUGCACUUGCUGCUGUCAUGUGUCUCCUGUGUGCUUGGUUCUGUGAUUUUGCUCAUCUCAGAAUUAAGUCAUCUUCUUUCUUAUGGUUUGUGUGUUCAUUGUGCAUAUUUUCUGUGGAGAAAUCAUUCUGCCAUGGCAAGGCACCUGAUGGGUGCUUGUGUAAAGGCUGAACUAAGCCU
Molecule: long non-coding RNA, 462 nt
Filed under: Triticum aestivum (bread wheat)
Lineage: Eukaryota; Viridiplantae; Streptophyta; Magnoliopsida; Poales; Poaceae
Description: long non-coding RNA (TAES_LNC027723)
Source: RNAcentral